GUGUCAGCAGCCGCGGUAAUACGUAGGGUGCGAGCGUUAAUCGGAAUUACUGGGCGUAAAGUGUGCGCAGGCGGCACCGCAAGUCGAGUGUGAAAGCCCCGGGCUUAACUUGGGAAUUGCGCUCGAAACUAUGGUGCUGGAGUGUGGCAGAGGAAGGUGGAAUUCCAGGUGUAGCGGUGAAAUGCGUAGAGAUCUGGAGGAACACCGAUGGCGAAGGCAGCCUUCUGGGCCAACACUGACGCUCAUGCACGAAAGCGUGGGGAGCAAACAGGAUUAGAAACCCGUGUAGUCC
This 292-nucleotide ribosomal RNA is filed under the name uncultured bacterium. Its description in RNAcentral is "partial 16S ribosomal RNA". It matches the Rfam family "Bacterial small subunit ribosomal RNA", at positions 505 to 796 of the family's 1533-position model. The record is from RNAcentral.